AGAAGGCACAGUGGGGAGUCUCCACGGCCACUGUCUUGCUGAAGUUCUGGAAGUCCACUCUGUAUUUCCCUUCUUUGGUCUUGGACACGAUGGGAGCGAAGCGGUACCCCCAGAGCACCUCCUCGGGGAUGUAGGACGUCCUCACCUGGCAGGUGGCACUGGUGGCCUCCACGGUGCCAUCCAAAAACACCACCAGCUCAAAGUCCUGCUGCAGGAGGGUUUCUGCUGCCAUGUGGAAGAAGGGGCUGUUCUUGUCUAUGAUGUGGUAAAUGGUGAGGGGUGAGAUGAAGAAGAGAUUCUCAUUGCCAGCGUCCACUACGAAUUCGAUGUUGACCUGGUCGAGGAUGAUGGUCUCCCCCUCGGGGGUGAUGGUGGUCUUCAACAGCUUCCCAUAGAUGUGGCUCCCAAUCAGCAGGCUCUUGCGGAGGUUGGCCACGCGGAUCAGGAGGCACAGCUUCCCCCCACGCUUGCUGAUGACAGCGUUCUUGCUGAAUGUGAUGGUCUUGGCCCGGUUCUUGGACCUGGAGAUCUUGGCCAGGAUGGCCCCACACAUGAAGGAGUUGAUGAUGACACCCAGGAUGGACUGGAAGAUGAGCAGAAAGAUGGCAGUGGCACACUGCUCUGUGACACACCUAAAGCCAUACCCAAUGGUCACCUGGGUUUCCAGGGAGAAGAGGAAGGCUGAGAGUACUGAGGAUGAGAGAGGGAAAAUCCCUCCUUGGACUUAACUGCAUGAGAGAUGCCCUGUCACUGAAUCCUCCUUUCAAGAGUUAAGCUGAGCCUACAGGCGAAAAGAGAAGGCUUGUACUGAUAAAGAGCCACGUUCCUGCAUUGACAGCUGUGUCUUUGUCACCUUCCCUGCACUCCUAAGCAAAGGAAUCCGUGGAAAAAAUGAGUGCUCUGAACAGUGGCACUGGCACCUGACUCAGAAGUAUCUGGAAUCUCUUCUGCUUGAAGCUCAAAAAACAGAACUUAAAAAAAACCCAACAUCUGUGUAGGAAAGUGUUUGAAGCCACUCAAGAACUGGUCAGCAGGUAACACCUGCUGAAGUUUUGUUUCCAGAUUUUAAGCUGGGUUUGUCUGGUACCAUCAGGUUUCUGCAGGACAUUGGAGCUCUUCACCCUUCUGAUGUACAUGGUAAUAAAAGUGUUAAUUAGUAGCUGCAACUCAGUGACAAAGCUGGCUAGAAGAAGGAGCACAGAUGUCCCAGGUACACACAACCUACCAAGGUUUUUCUCAGCAGCAAUUGAUCAAAUACUCUUAAAAUAAGCUCACACUUCAUUUCAUCCUCUGCGUGUUUCCUCUCACAUUUGUUUCCAAAUAAACACACUUCUGGAAGCUCUAAAAAGGGCAUUUAGGGAAGUUUAAGUUGUUCUCAAGGUCCUGAGAUUUUUCUAAAUUGCCAUGUGUGAAGUAUUGUCCUCAUAUCAACUCCAGACAGCCCCUGGGCUUUGCUGGGAGCACAGAGGUGUCUCCAUACAGGCUUUCCUCUGGAGCUUGUGACAUCCUGUUUGCCUGAGCCAGCCUGGGAGCUGGAUAAGGGGCAGGGUGGCACAGCCAGGCAUGGGGACUGUCCCCUGUCUGCCAGAGGCAGAAUAUCCGAACAAGAAAUGGCAGAUUGGGGUAUAUUUGGCUUACUUCAGUUGUCUUACUCAGGCCUGUGUUCAGCAUCACCAGCAAAAUUAAGUUUGGAAUAGAAUACGAUCUCUAGUUCUGGAGAACAGGUUCUGGAGAACCAGAUAUGGACUUCUGGUAAAUCUGUUGUCUGUGCCUCAGUUUUUCCACCCCUUGGGCUUCCCAGAUGAAGAAAGGAAGAGUUCUGUGUAGCUACAGCCCUUCCUCACUCUGCUCAGCAGCAGCCACUUCUUGUACUGCUGUUCCCAAAGUCCCUGGACAAUCCAAUGGGUUGAUCUUGCUGCUCUUCAGAAAUUCCCAGAUAUUGUCAUGCCUCUGCUUUCCUCUGCAGCAGGACCUGCUGAUGGAUCAUUGUCCCCUUUGGGAUGUGUCUCUGAGGUCACUCUUUGGGUCAAUGUCCAACUGACCAUUUUAGCCUUCCCUUCCUUCUACCUUCAGGAAUAAAUUCCAUCUGUUCCCUAAAUAGGCUGCCUGGCAGGCCUCAGCUGCAUUUCACAGACUUAGACUCAGGUUUUACUUGGGUUUGAUUAUUAUUGCUACUUUUACUUUGGACAAUGUCAGUAAGUGAUUUGAAAAGAAACAGUGCAGCACAAUCCUGUGAGGUAGAACAUUCUGUUGUGCUUCACACUGAGCUUCCUUAUCUGCAGGUCCCCAAGGGCUCCACGAGCAUUAAUAAAUGAAACUCACCCUCUCUUUGGGAAUGCAAGAAGGAAAGAGGCAGGAAGCAGUCACCAUUCUAUUUUUCAUAGAGGAUAACCAAGGCAGAGACAAGCAAAGCAAGGCAGAAAGCCUGGUUUGAUAUCCUGACCCACUGAAGUCAGGCACUGAUCUCCCCUGGGAGCCAUGAAGAAAGUGAGAGCACAUUGUGUGAAGGAAUUCCAGCCCUGCUGAAUUCCCUCGGCAGAUAAAGGCUGGGAUGGAGCCCUCGGUGAUAGGCAGAGUGAGGAAGUGAGCAACUUGUGCGGAAUGAUUGUUUAUUUAGUCAUCUCCCAAGACUAGGAGUGAGGUCCCAGAGGCUGCAAAGACACACGACAGGGUAGUGAGGAAUUCAGCACUUUCCUUCACAUGUAUUAUGCUCUUUGUUCUGCUCUUUCCCUGGGAAAAGGGUUAUCUCAGGUUGGUGUCUGAGGGUAGUUCACAGGCAGGUACAGCCUGGCAUUGUGAGAUUUAGGCAAAGCCUCCAUAGGAAGAGCUGGAUCCAGGAGCCAAAGCUGUAUUUCCCAGCAGCUGAAGGAGUUUGUGUUCCAUGAAGGCAGUGCCAAGGGGAACUGGAGCUCCUGAAUUCCUGCCUCCCUCAGGAGCUCCCCAGCCCUUUACCCUGGGAGCAGCAGAGCUGGGUGGAAACUUUGUCCUUGUUCCUCAGGGCAGCAGAGUGGGCUGGCAGUCCCACACUGCUCCCAGAAAAGUUGCCAUUCCUUUUGUGCAUGGCUGCUGUUAUCAGAAGGAAAAAGCAUGGAGCAGCCAGCAGGCUUUUUCCCUCAGCUGAGGCCUGCAGAUGCCUCGGUGCUCCCUUUGCAGCAGCACAAUUCCCAGAGAAUCAUGCAAAAACCCAGGCCUUGCUUUGGAAGGUGAGCACCUGAGGAAUAAAGGAUGGCUGAUUUCCAGGUGAGGGAGCCAUCCAGGGAGUCACCCCGGAGGGCACUGGCAACAGGCAGGGGAAGAAAAGCAGCCUCAGGCAGCAGCUCAGCCUGAUCCAUGUGCAGCAGCACUGGCAGGGGCCUGGAAAAGAAGGCUGGAGAAACCACAGGGGCAGUGACAAAGUGGCUCUCCCUACUUCAGUUUGGGCUAAAUUGCUCUGGGUGCCACACAGCUUCCCUCAGGAGGCAGCUGGCUCCAGAGCCUCUGCCUUCCUGCUGGAAUAGGAGGCAGGAGUUCGGCCAGCUCUGAGUCAGGUUGGCUCCUUAUCUCUCUCAACCUGAUAAAAGCCUACCAGGCUGGCUAAAUGAUACACUCCUGUGCCCUUCCUCUUACAAUGUGUCCAUAUCCUGAGGUCUCUUUGUGCCAAAGUUUCACCUUUACACAGUUUUUAUUCCACAGAGACUCUUUUCUGAAGAGGAACUUGAUUUAUGCCCAGGCAUAAAUCAUACAGGAACCUCCAGCUCCUGUACCAAGGUUUUUGGGAGGUCUUCAUCACUCACACUGAGGUGAAACUUGAUUCUGCACAACCUUUUCUGAGGAUGUGCCAAAGUGUGUUUGUCCUGCACAGUACUUUCUAAAACUCUGAACUCUAUCUCAUAUGUAGGUAAAGAACUUAAAGUCAGCAUGCCUUUGCCAUCAAACUAUGGACAAAGACCUUAUUUCAGUAAAGCUUCUGCUUCUUCCUUAGACUCAUGGAAUGGUUUGGGUUGGAAGGGACCUUAAAGAUCAGCUGGUUCCAACCCCUGCC
Molecule: long non-coding RNA, 4021 nt
Organism: Parus major (Great Tit)
Lineage: Eukaryota; Metazoa; Chordata; Aves; Passeriformes; Paridae
Exons: 3
Source: RefSeq, a predicted model, not a curated record